AUUGAACGCUGGCGGCAGGCCUAACACAUGCAAGUCGAGCGGAUGAAGGGAGCUUGCUCCUGGAUUCAGCGGCGGACGGGUGAGUAAUGCCUAGGAAUCUGCCUGGUAGUGGGGGAUAACGUCCGGAAACGGGCGCUAAUACAGCAUACGUCCUGAGGGAGAAAGUGGGGGAUCUUCGGACCUCACGCUAUCAGAUGAGCCUAGGUCGGAUUAGCGAGUUGGUGGGGUAAAGGCCUACCAGGGCGACGAUCCGUAACUGGUCUGAGAGGAUGAUCAGUCAAACGGGACCUGGGCCCCGGUCAGGCCUCCUCCGGGAGCCAGCGGUGGGGAUUAUUGGCCAAUGGGCGAAACCCUGCUCCAGCCCUGCCGCGUGUGUGAAGAAGGUCUUCGGUUUGUAAAGCCCUUUAUGUUGGGAGGAAGAGCAGUAAGUUAAUUCCUUGCUGUUUUGCCGUUACCAACAGAAUAAGCACCGGCUACCUUCGU
Molecule: ribosomal RNA, 483 nt
Filed under: uncultured bacterium
Lineage: Bacteria
Description: partial 16S ribosomal RNA
Rfam family: Bacterial small subunit ribosomal RNA
Source: RNAcentral